UACGGAGGGUGCGAGCGUUGUCCGGAAUCACUGGGCGUAAAGGGCGCGUAGGUGGCCUGUGGAAGUCUGCGGUGAAAGCCCGGCGCUCAACGCCGGGUCGGCCGUGGAUACUCUCGGGCUCGAGCUUACUAGAGGCAGAUGGAAUUCCGGGUGUAGCGGUGGAAUGCGUAGAGAUCCGGAAGAACACCGGUGGCGAAGGCGGUCUGCUGGGGUAAUGCUGACACCGAUGCGCGACAGCGUGGGGAGCAAACAGG
This 254-nucleotide ribosomal RNA is filed under the name uncultured bacterium. Its description in RNAcentral is "partial 16S ribosomal RNA". It matches the Rfam family "Bacterial small subunit ribosomal RNA", at positions 524 to 776 of the family's 1533-position model. The record is from RNAcentral.